RNAcentral lists this long non-coding RNA (767 nucleotides) under Hordeum vulgare. RNAcentral describes it as "long non-coding RNA (HVUL_LNC000144)". Lineage: Eukaryota; Viridiplantae; Streptophyta; Magnoliopsida; Poales; Poaceae. The record is from RNAcentral.
CGUUCUCUCUUUCAACUCAACAAAAAUUCUAUGCGACAUUUCUAAAAAGAUAAGUCAAAAGAUGAUGACACACAAUUCCAACUUUUCAUAAUGUUAAUGGACAGAUCGGAUACAUUUGUUGAGAACUUGACCACGGACAAGACAACGUCCACGAGUCAGCUCGCUCCAUCCAUCAUACAUAAAGGAAGUGAGGAUGAGAUGGCGGAGGAGGAUCUAUGGCAGCCGGCCGUGCCGCUCUUGUGAUGGCGGGGAGGGAGGUGCACCGUCGUCGUUGCAGCAGUAGCAAACCUCACCGCGAACGAGGUUGCACCGGCCAUGGACGUAGCCGAGGGCCUGGCAACAACGCAUGCACUUGCCGCUCCCCUGCCAGCACUUGACCAUGCACUCCGCCCUCAGCACGUCGCACACCAGCACCGCCGUCGUCGCCGCCUCCACUGCACAUAUGUAUGGAACGAGGUUGAAAAAAAUAAUUAAAUUCAUCCAAGAUUCACCAGUUGGCUCUUAUCGAACACUUACGGGAAGCGAUGAGAAGGAUGGCCAUGAACAACAGUUUCUUGCCCAUCUUGUAUGUGGUUAGUAGUAGAUUCUUCCUCGUCUUGGAUGAUCAGUAGCUGAGUGGACGAUAUGUGGCAAUAUACGUGAUCUAUGGGGCGAGUGAUUUUGGAUUCUUAUGAUAGGUGGUAUUUUUAUAGGAGAGGAUCGGAAAUAAGAUGAGAACGCUUUGAACUCUUCCCAAUUUCAGAAUUUAGAGUAUAUCUCCUUAGAGG